This 399-nucleotide ribosomal RNA is filed under the name uncultured bacterium. RNAcentral's name for it is "partial 16S ribosomal RNA". It matches the Rfam family "Bacterial small subunit ribosomal RNA", at positions 360 to 776 of the family's 1533-position model. The record is from RNAcentral.
AAUAUUUCACAAUGGGCGAAAGCCUGAUCCAGCAACGCCGCGUGAUUGAUGAAGGCCUNCGGGUCNUNAAGCUCUUUUCUCAGGGNAGAUAAUGACAGUACCUGAAAAACAAGCCACGGCUAACUCCGUACCAGCAGCCGCGGUAAUACGUAGGUGGCGAGCGUUGUCCGGAAUUACUUGGCGUAAAGGAUGCGUAGGUGGAUAUUUAAGUGGGAUGUGAAAUCCCCGGGCUCAACCCGGGAACUGCAUUCCAAACUGGGUAUCUAGAGUGCAGGAGAGGAAAGCGGAAUUCCUAGUGUAGCGGUGAAAUGCGUAGAUAUUAGGAGGAACACCAGUGGCGAAGGCGGCUUUCUGGACUGUAACUGACACUGAGGCAUGAAAGCGUGGGUAGCAAACAGG